Molecule: ribosomal RNA, 1328 nt
Filed under: metagenome
Description: bacterial SSU rRNA
Rfam family: Bacterial small subunit ribosomal RNA
Source: RNAcentral
GAGUUUGAUCCUGGCUCAGAUUGAACGCUGGCGGCAUGCCUUACACAUGCAAGUCGAACGGUAACAGGGAGCUUGCUCCGCUGACGAGUGGCGAACGGGUGAGUAAUAUAUCGGAACGUACCAUUCAGUGGGGGAUAACGUAGCGAAAGUUACGCUAAUACCGCAUAUUCUGUGAGCAGGAAAGCAGGGGAUCGCAAGACCUUGCGCUGAUUGAGCGGCCGAUAUCAGAUUAGCUUGUUGGUGAGGUAAAAGCUCACCAAGGCGACGAUCUGUAGCGGGUCUGAGAGGAUGAUCCGCCACACUGGAACUGAGACACGGUCCAGACUCCUACGGGAGGCAGCAGUGGGGAAUUUUGGACAAUGGGGGCAACCCUGAUCCAGCCAUGCCGCGUGAGUGAAGAAGGCCUUCGGGUUGUAAAGCUCUUUCAGCCGGGAAGAAAACGCAUGGGUUAAUACCCUGUGUGGAUGACGGUACCGGAAUAAGAAGCACCGGCUAACUACGUGCCAGCAGCCGCGGUAAUACGUAGGGUGCGAGCGUUAAUCGGAAUUACUGGGCGUAAAGCGUGCGCAGGCGGUUUUGUAAGACAGGCGUGAAAUCCCCGGGCUUAACCUGGGAACUGCGUUUGUGACUGCAAGGCUAGAGUACGGCAGAGGGGGGUGGAAUUCCACGUGUAGCAGUGAAAUGCGUAGAGAUGUGGAGGAACACCAAUGGCGAAGGCAGCCCCCUGGGUCGAUACUGACGCUCAUGCACGAAAGCGUGGGUAGCAAACAGGAUUAGAUACCCUGGUAGUCCACGCCCUAAACGAUGUCAACUAGGUGUUGGGAGGGUAAAACCUUUUAGUACCGGAGCUAACGCGUGAAGUUGACCGCCUGGGGAGUACGGCCGCAAGGUUAAAACUCAAAGGAAUUGACGGGGACCCGCACAAGCGGUGGAUGAUGUGGAUUAAUUCGAUGCAACGCGAAAAACCUUACCUACCCUUGACAUGCCAAGAACUUUCCAGAGAUGGAUUGGUGCCCGAAAGGGAACUUGGACACAGGUGCUGCAUGGCUAUCGUCAGCUCGUGUCGUGAGAUGUUGGGUUAAGUCCCGCAACGAGCGCAACCCUUGUCGUUAAUUGCCAUCAUUUAGUUGGGCACUUUAACGAGACUGCCGGUGACAAACCGGAGGAAGGUGGGGAUGACGUCAAGUCCUCAUGGCCCUUAUGGGUAGGGCUUCACACGUCACACAAUGGUCGGUACAAAGGGUCGCCAAGCCGCGAGGUGGAGCCAACCCCAGAAAGCCGAUCGUAGUCCGGAUCGCAGUCUGCAACUCGACUGCGUGAAGUCGGAA